GAGGAUCCAAGCGUUAUCCGGAUUUAUUGGGUUUAAAGGGUGCGUAGGCGGCCUGUUAAGUCAGGGGUGAAAUUUUUCGGCUCAACCGGAAGCUUGCCUUUGAUACUGAUGGGCUUGAUUACACUUGAGGUAGGCGGAAUAUGUCAUGUAGCGGUGAAAUGCUUAGAUAUGACAUAGAACACCGAUUGCGAAGGCAGCUUACUAAGCAAAUAUUGACGCUGAGGCACGAAAGCGUGGGGAUCAAACAGG
This 249-nucleotide ribosomal RNA is filed under the name uncultured bacterium. RNAcentral describes it as "partial 16S ribosomal RNA". It matches the Rfam family "Bacterial small subunit ribosomal RNA", at positions 528 to 776 of the family's 1533-position model. The record is from RNAcentral.